GUGAGGAUUCUUCGCGGGGGCGUUUUGGACCUGUAAAAAAUAGAAAUAUUCUGAACUUUCGAGUUAGGAAAAUCUGAAACCGUGGUUAGGACCGGGACGACGAGUGGAGUAAUAUUUGUGAAGGGUGUUUUGGCGAUAGGUGAGUGGAAAUUGGGGUUAUGGAAGGUUUUGGAUGGUGAGGUUAGUGAGGUUUAAUGGAAGUUGUAAGAGUGUGAGAGAAGGAGAUGAAGAAUGAUGAGAGAGAGU
RNAcentral lists this long non-coding RNA (246 nucleotides) under Lathyrus oleraceus (garden pea). RNAcentral describes it as "Pisum sativum (pea) long non-coding RNA (PSAT_LNC009549)". The record is from RNAcentral. Lineage: Eukaryota; Viridiplantae; Streptophyta; Magnoliopsida; Fabales; Fabaceae.